ACGACCGUACCGCAAACCGACACUGGUGCGCGAGAUGAGUAUUCUAAGGCGCUUGAGAGAACUCAGGAGAAGGAACUCGGCAAAUUGACACCGUAACUUCAGAAGAAGGUGUGCCUUUAGUAGGUGAAGUCCCUCGCGGAUGGAGCCCAAUGAGGUUGCAAAAAAUCGGUGGCUGCGACUGUUUAUUAAAAACACAGCACUCUGCAAACACGAAAGUGGACGUAUAGGGUGUGACGCCUGCCCGGUGCUGGAAGAUUAAAUGAUGGGGUGCAAGCUCUUGAUUGAAGUCCCAGUAAACGGCGGCCGUAACUAUAACGGUCCUAAGGUAGCGAAAUUCCUUGUCGGGUAAGUUCCGACCUGCACGAAUGGCGUAACGAUGGCCACACUGUCUCCUCCUGAGACUCAGCGAAGUUGAAAUGUUUGUGAUGAUGCAAUCUCCCCGCGGAAAGACGGAAAGACCCCAUGAGCCUUUACUGUAGCUUUGUAUUGGACUUUGAACAGAUCUGUGUAGGAUAGGUGGGAGGCUUUGAAGCAGGGUCGCUAGAUCUUGUGGAGCCAACGUUGAAAUACCACCCUGGUGUGUUUGAGGUUCUAACCUAGGCCCGUAUUCCGGGUUGGGGACAGUGCAUGGUAGGCAGUUUGACUGGGGCGGUCUCCUCCCAAAGUGUAACGGAGGAGUUCGAAGGUACGCUAGUUACGGUCGGACAUCGUGACGAUAGUGCAAUGGCAUAAGCGUGCUUAACUGCGAGACUGACAAGUCGAGCAGAUGCGAAAGCAGGACAUAGUGAUCCGGUGGUUCUGUAUGGAAGGGCCAUCGCUCAACGGAUAAAAGGUACUCUGGGGAUAACAGGCUGAUACCGCCCAAGAGUUCAUAUCGACGGCGGUGUUUGGCACCUCGAUGUCGGCUCAUCUCAUCCUGGGGCUGUAGCCGGUCCCAAGGGUAUGGCUGUUCGCCAUUUAAAGAGGUACGUGAGCUGGGUUUAAAACGUCGUGAGACAGUUUGGUCCCUAUCUUCCGUGGGCGCUGCAGAUUUGAGGAAGCCUGCUCCUAGUACGAGAGGACCGGAGUGGACGCACCUCUGGUGUAUCGGUUGUCACGCCAGUGGCAUUGCCGAGUAGCUAUGUGCGGAAGAGAUAACCGCUGAAAGCAUCUAAGCGGGAAACUCGUUUCAAGAUGAGAUCUGCCGGGGCCUUGAGCCCCCUGAAGAGUCGUUCAAGACCAGGACGUUGAUAGGUCGGGUGUGGAAGCGCAGCAAUGCGUUAAGCUAACCGAUACUAAUUGCUCGUGCGGCUUGACC
This 1297-nucleotide ribosomal RNA is filed under the name metagenome. RNAcentral's name for it is "bacterial LSU rRNA". It matches the Rfam family "Bacterial large subunit ribosomal RNA", at positions 1638 to 2925 of the family's 2925-position model. The record is from RNAcentral.